RNAcentral lists this unclassified non-coding RNA (405 nucleotides) under soil metagenome. Its description in RNAcentral is "partial contains 5.8S ribosomal RNA, internal transcribed spacer 2, and large subunit ribosomal RNA". The stretch from base 1 to 121 matches the Rfam family "5.8S ribosomal RNA", at positions 35 to 154 of the family's 154-position model. The record is from RNAcentral.
GAUGAAGAACGCAGCGAAAUGCGAUAAGUAAUGUGAAUUGCAGAAUUCAGUGAAUCAUCGAAUCUUUGAACGCACCUUGCGCCCUUUGGCCAUUCCGAAGGGCAUGCCUGUUUGAGUAUCAUGAACACCUCAACUCUUCAUGGUUUUCCAUGAUGAGCUUGGACUUUGGGGGCCUUGCUGGCCUGUGGGUCGGCUCCUCUCAAAUGAAUCAGCUUGCCGGUUUUUGGUGGGCAUCACAGGUGUGAUAACUAUCUACGCUUGUGGUUUUCCACCAGGGUAACCUUCAGCAGUGGAGGUUCACUGGAGCUUAUAAAUGUCUCUCCCCAGUGAAGACAGCCUUUGAACGUUCGAUCUCAAAUCAGGUAGGACUACCCGCUGAACUUAAGCAUAUCAAUAAGCGGAGGA